CCAGAUCUGCUUCACAAGCUUCUGUGUUGAGUAACAUCUCUAACGUUACUCGCAGGACAAAGUUACUGACAAAAUAUGGGAGCUUUACUUGCAAACCCAUGUGAGAUUGCUGUAUGAUUCAUCUGCUCCAUGAAAAUGACCACCUCUGCAGAUGAUUUAUUUAGUUCCCAGAUAUGUGUAUAUUCUAUAAUCUAUCACAAUUGCUUCCUCUCCUCUUCGUGAAGAUUGUGCUUUGUGUGGCAGCAUGCAAUAAUGCAGAAUAUGAAACUGAUGGAGAGUGUUGCCCGAUGUGUGAUCCAGGUAAGUCCUGGAUAAGAUUGCUCUU
Long non-coding RNA from Sinocyclocheilus grahami, 325 nucleotides. RefSeq lists it as uncharacterized. The transcript is spliced from 3 exons. The record is from RefSeq and is a predicted model, not a curated record. NCBI's taxonomy places the organism in Eukaryota, Metazoa, Chordata, Actinopteri, Cypriniformes, Cyprinidae.